This 648-nucleotide ribosomal RNA is filed under the name Enterococcus faecalis. RNAcentral describes it as "bacterial SSU rRNA". It matches the Rfam family "Bacterial small subunit ribosomal RNA", at positions 73 to 707 of the family's 1533-position model. Lineage: Bacteria; Bacillati; Bacillota; Bacilli; Lactobacillales; Enterococcaceae. The record is from RNAcentral.
UUGCACUCAAUUGGAAAGAGGAGUGGCGGACGGGUGAGUAACACGUGGGUAACCUACCCAUCAGAGGGGGAUAACACUUGGAAACAGGUGCUAAUACCGCAUAACAGUUUAUGCCGCAUGGCAUAAGAGUGAAAGGCGCUUUCGGGUGUCGCUGAUGGAUGGACCCGCGGUGCAUUAGCUAGUUGGUGAGGUAACGGCUCACCAAGGCCACGAUGCAUAGCCGACCUGAGAGGGUGAUCGGCCACACUGGGACUGAGACACGGCCCAGACUCCUACGGGAGGCAGCAGUAGGGAAUCUUCGGCAAUGGACGAAAGUCUGACCGAGCAACGCCGCGUGAGUGAAGAAGGUUUUCGGAUCGUAAAACUCUGUUGUUAGAGAAGAACAAGGACGUUAGUAACUGAACGUCCCCUGACGGUAUCUAACCAGAAAGCCACGGCUAACUACGUGCCAGCAGCCGCGGUAAUACGUAGGUGGCAAGCGUUGUCCGGAUUUAUUGGGCGUAAAGCGAGCGCAGGCGGUUUCUUAAGUCUGAUGUGAAAGCCCCCGGCUCAACCGGGGAGGGUCAUUGGAAACUGGGAGACUUGAGUGCAGAAGAGGAGAGUGGAAUUCCAUGUGUAGCGGUGAAAUGCGUAGAUAUAUGGAGGAAC